UACGGAGGGUGCAAGCGUUAUCCGGAUUCACUGGGUUUAAAGGGUGCGUAGGUGGGCUGGUAAGUCAGACGUGAAAUCCCCAGGCUCAACCUGGGAACUGCGUCUGAUACUGGAUGGCUUGAAUCCGGGAGAGGGAUGCAGAAUUCCAGGUGUAGCGGUGAAAUGCGUAGAUAUCUGGAGGAAUACCGGUGGCGAAGGCGGCAUCCUGGACCGGCAUUGACGCUGAGGAGCGAAAGCCAGGGGAGCAAACGGG
Molecule: ribosomal RNA, 253 nt
Filed under: uncultured bacterium
Lineage: Bacteria
Description: partial 16S ribosomal RNA
Rfam family: Bacterial small subunit ribosomal RNA
Source: RNAcentral